RNAcentral lists this transfer RNA (68 nucleotides) under Cratera arucuia. RNAcentral describes it as "tRNA-Phe". The record is from RNAcentral. Lineage: Eukaryota; Metazoa; Platyhelminthes; Tricladida; Geoplanidae.
AAAUUUAAAUAGCUUAAUAUAAAGCAAAGUAUUGAAGAUACUAAGAUGAAUUUUUAAUUCUUUAAUUA